This 253-nucleotide ribosomal RNA is filed under the name uncultured bacterium. RNAcentral describes it as "partial 16S ribosomal RNA". It matches the Rfam family "Bacterial small subunit ribosomal RNA", at positions 524 to 776 of the family's 1533-position model. The record is from RNAcentral.
UACGUAGGUGGCAAGCGUUGUCCGGAUUUACUGGGCGUAAAGAGCGCGCAGGCGGUCGAAUAAGUCGGAUGUGAAAGCCCCCGGCUCAACUGGGGAGGGUCAUUCGAUACUGCUCGACUUGAAGGCAGGAGAGGGUAGUGGAAUUCUCGGUGUAGAGGUGAAAUUCGUAGAUAUCGAGAGGAACACCGGUGGCGAAGGCGGCCAACUGGACGAAUACUGACGCUGAGACUCGAAAGCGUGGGGAGCAAACAGG